Molecule: long non-coding RNA, 1214 nt
Organism: Talpa occidentalis (Iberian mole)
Lineage: Eukaryota; Metazoa; Chordata; Mammalia; Eulipotyphla; Talpidae
Exons: 7
Source: RefSeq, a predicted model, not a curated record
ACCGGCCGCGGUGGUGGCGCUGUGCGCGCGGUUGCAGCGUGAGGCAGUGAGUGGCGCUUCCUCACCAGUGAGUAACACUUGGUGAGCGCCCUCUGUGAGGCAGGAAAACGGAAGGAAGUGGAAUUGUCAGAGAUCACAUGUUGAGCUCCCAGAGUGGUGGAAAUGUGUUAGAGCCAUCAGACUAAAUGAACAUGUGAGGUUUCCAGAAAGCCUAAGAAAGAGGUUCAUGAAGAUUACCCCUUGGCAAUCCCACAAACCUCAGGACAUUUUUGUGGCCUUGAGAAGAGAAGAUCUAACCCAAAUUUACAGGAUCCUUCAUGCUUGGAAGCUGCCAUUACCUUAAUAGGAUUCAUGGGAUGUAUGGAUGCCUCCUGGGUAUGGAAACAGCAAUUCUCCUGCUAGAAUCUAACCAGAUGCUUGCUGACAAGGAUGUAUAUGAAGUGUACUUUGUUGAUUUUCAACCACUGGGUCACCUUUACUGAAAGUUACCUUUCGACUACAAGGCAAGUGGCCUUAGGCUGAUCCUUAACGCAAGAGGAGCAGAGCCGACACCUGACAUCUGAUUAUGUCACUGCAUUGUAUCUGGGGCCUACCUUAAGAGAAUUUCCUGUCAUAUAAGGAAACACUGGGAGCAUCCUUCAUUUGACAUCACUCUCUGAGAGCAAAAACAUUUAAUUACUGACAUGAGAUCCUGGAUGACAUUUCAUUAGGCUAAAGGGUCCACUAAAUAGCAUGGGAGAUAUAAUAGUUCAUAUAGCUAAGGCCCAUUAAUCCUAUCACAUGCUCCUGGAGCGGCCCAGUGCAGAUAAGAAGCUGAACUUUCCCUGAUUGACUGGAUACCACCCAAGCCAGAAUGGACUAUACCUGUGCAGUGCCUUGAUCUGAAUUCUGACCUUAUGUCCUGCCUGAGUGAGGGGGCUGCUGGAAAGAGGGUGGAACUGAGCAGCCAUUUUGUGAACCUUUAAAAGGGAGUGAUCCGGGCCUCCCUAGUGGCGCAGGAGUUAAAGUCUCACCACUAUCAAGCUACCACCAGCCACUGCUGCAUAAGUUUCAUCCCUAGCCAGGGAGCUACUCACAUGGCACAGCAGACCUCUCCUGAUUCGCCCGCUGCUUCCCUCAGCAGUGUAUAUCAAUAGAUCCGCCUCUGUGAGAUCACACUGCCUCUGGUGAAUCCUCUCACCCCAGGCACCUCUGGCCUACACCUCAGUUCUUGU